GACGAACGCUGGCGGCGUGCUUAACACAUGCAAGUCGAACGGAAAGGCCCUGCUUUUGUGGGGUGCUCGAGUGGCGAACGGGUGAGUAACACGUGAGUAACCUGUCCUUCACUUUGGGAUAACUUCAGGAAACUGGGGCUCAUACCGGAUAGGAGCUCCUGCUGCUUGGUGGGGGUUGGAAAGUUUCGGCGGUUGGGGAUGGACUCGCGGCUUAUCAGCUUGUUGGUGGGGUAGUGGCUUACCAAGGCUUUGACAGGUAGCCGGCCUGAGAGGGUGGCCUGCCAAACUAGGACGGAGAUGCGGCACAGACCACUACGGGAGGCAGGAGAGGGGUAGGGAGCCCUACGGGCGGAAGCCUAGUGCAGCACCGCCGCGUGGGGGGAAUCAGCCUUCUGGUAGGAAACCGCAUUCGCCUGUGACGAAGCGUGAGUGACGGUAAUGGGUAAAGAAGCACCGGCUAACUACGUG
This 468-nucleotide ribosomal RNA is filed under the name uncultured bacterium. RNAcentral's name for it is "partial 16S ribosomal RNA". It matches the Rfam family "Bacterial small subunit ribosomal RNA", at positions 28 to 507 of the family's 1533-position model. The record is from RNAcentral.